This 600-nucleotide ribosomal RNA is filed under the name uncultured bacterium. RNAcentral's name for it is "bacterial SSU rRNA". It matches the Rfam family "Bacterial small subunit ribosomal RNA", at positions 90 to 693 of the family's 1533-position model. The record is from RNAcentral.
GGAUAGUGGCGCACGGGUGCGUAACGCGUAUGGAAUCGACUUUUACUGGGGGAUAGCCCGGAGAAUCGGAUUAUACCCCAUGGUAUGCUAAAUGGCAUCAGUUUAGUAUUAAAGAUUUAUCGGUAGAGAUGGCAUGCGUAUGAUUAGCUAUUGGGGGGUAAUGGCCCACCAAGGCGAUGAUCAUUAGGGGGUCUGAAGGAUGAUCCCCCACAGUGGUACUGAAUACGGACCAGACUCCUACGGGAGGCAGCAGUAGGGAAUAUUGGUCAAUGGGCGAGAGCCUGUAACCAGCCAUGCCGGUGCAGGAAGAAGGCCCUCUGGGUUGUAAACUCGCUUUUGACAGGGGCCAAAAUACUCAUGCGUGAGGAAUUGAGAGUACCUGUAAAUAAGCACCGGUAACUCCGUGCCAGCAGCGGGUAUACGAGGUUCAAGCGUUGUCCGGAUUUAUUGGGUUUAAAGGGUGCGUAGUGGGCUUAUAAGUCAGUGGUGAAAGCCUGCAGUUUUAACUUGGUUGGGAACUGCCAUUGAUUAACUGGUAGGNUUGANUACUGAUGAANGUUAGGGGGGAAUUGAUAGUGGUUAGCGGUGGAAAUGGCUUAG